UGGGGAAUAUUGCACAAUGGGGGAAACCCUGAUGCAGCGACGCCGCGUGAGCGAAGAAGGUUUUCGAAUCGUAAAGCUCUGUCCUAUGAGAAGAUAAUGACGGUAUCAUAGGAGGAAGCCCCGGCUAACUACGUGCCAGCAGCCGCGGUAAUACGUAGGGGGCGAGCGUUGUCCGGAAUUACUGGGCGUAAAGGGUUCGCGGGCGGCAUGGCAAGUCCGAUGUAAAAGGCGAAGGCGCAACCUUCGUAAGCAUCGGAAACUGUCAAGCUUGAGUGAAGGAGAGGCGAGUGGAAUUCCUAGUGUAGCGGUGGAAUGCGUAGAUAUUAGGAGGAAUACCGGUGGCGAAGGCGACUUGCUGGACUUCAACUGACGCUGAGGAACGAAAGCGUGGGUAGCAAACAGG
This 403-nucleotide ribosomal RNA is filed under the name Verrucomicrobiota bacterium. RNAcentral describes it as "Verrucomicrobia bacterium partial 16S ribosomal RNA". It matches the Rfam family "Bacterial small subunit ribosomal RNA", at positions 355 to 776 of the family's 1533-position model. Lineage: Bacteria; Pseudomonadati; Verrucomicrobiota. The record is from RNAcentral.